GAUGAACGCUGGCGGCGUGCCUAAUACAUGCAAGUCGAGCGAACAGACGAGGAGCUUUCUCCUCAUACGUUAUCGUCGCACGGGUGAGUGACACGUGUAUAACCUCCGUAUUAGACUGGGAUAACUUCGGUAAACCGGACCUAUUACCGGAUAAUAGAUUUAAUCUCAGCGUUCAGUAAUGAAAAAAGGUUUUGCCUUUUCUUAUACAUUGAUCCGCGCCGCAUAGGCUAGUUGGUGAGGUAGCGGCUUACAAAGGGGACGAUAAGUAGCCGACCCGAGAGGGUGAUGGGCAAAACUGGAACUGAGACACGGUCAAGACUCCUACGGGAGGAAGCAGUAGGAAAUCUCCCGAAAUGAGCGAAGGCCUACGGGGGAAACGCCGCGUGAGUGAUGAGGGCCUUCGGAUCGUAAGCCUCGGUUAUUAGGGAAAAACAAAUGUGUAAGUAAAUAUGGACGUAUUGACGGUACCUAAUCAGAAAGCCACGGCUAACUACGUG
This 497-nucleotide ribosomal RNA is filed under the name uncultured bacterium. Its description in RNAcentral is "partial 16S ribosomal RNA". It matches the Rfam family "Bacterial small subunit ribosomal RNA", at positions 28 to 507 of the family's 1533-position model. The record is from RNAcentral.